Molecule: long non-coding RNA, 785 nt
Organism: Eutrema salsugineum
Lineage: Eukaryota; Viridiplantae; Streptophyta; Magnoliopsida; Brassicales; Brassicaceae
Exons: 2
Source: RefSeq, a predicted model, not a curated record
GACCCACGAUCCUUCAUCAUCGUCUACGAUUUUUUUCUUUUUCAUACUCCUACAUCUCUCAUAUUUAACUAACAAAUUGUAGAGACACUCUCACGAAAUCGAAAAGAUGAAAGUUACUUCUUCUUUGAUUUCAAAACCUGAUUCAAAUUUGGGGUCGUAUUGAAUAUCCCAAACCAAAGCCAAGUUCGAUUCAGGAGCUAACGGAUCUCAGCGACCUAUUUUCGCCAGCGAGUUGUCUCAAUCCUCUCUACAGUUUCAUCUGCUUUGCAGGGCACCGGAUUGCUUCAUCGGAACCGGUAAGGGGUUACGAAGGUUCAACAAAGAGUGGGUUAAUUCGAUCCGUAUGGAGAUCCGAAUUGCUGGAGAUUCGACCCAUACAACACUACCCAAAAUAUCAGAUUGUUGAAAGUUUUGUUAUUGUACAACAGAGAUAAAUUGAAAACCGUAGAGGUUUGGUACUUUUUUUUCUCUAUAAUUUUAGUAUUUCAGAUAUUUGGUAAGAAAAUUUAGUUUAUGCAGGAUGUAGGGGCGAGAGGAAUAUAAAGUGUUGACGAUGACAAAAUUGGUGCUGCCAUGCAGGAACAUUGAUUAAAUUCGAAGACAAAAUUAAGAAAGAGGAAUUGUCGGUGGCUUUUUCAAAUCAAGGAUCGUUGGAAACAAAUGAAGUUAUACCUUUGUAAUGUAUGGGUUUUGAACUGUUUCAUAUAACUCAAUGAUUAGUGUGUUAAUGUAUCUUUUUAUGUAUUCUCAUCCUCUACUGCUAAGUCAAAGUUAGUUUUUUUUAA